Molecule: non-coding RNA, 95 nt
Organism: Mycena epipterygia
Lineage: Eukaryota; Fungi; Basidiomycota; Agaricomycetes; Agaricales; Mycenaceae
Source: the annotation of a GenBank genome assembly
GACUCGGUGGCGAAAAGUAUCGCGUCCGCUGCACUUGAACUCUAAAGCUCGAGCUUAACCAGCGGAAGGCGCCUGUUCGAUUCAGGCCCGAGUCA